RNAcentral lists this ribosomal RNA (481 nucleotides) under uncultured bacterium. Its description in RNAcentral is "bacterial SSU rRNA". It matches the Rfam family "Bacterial small subunit ribosomal RNA", at positions 35 to 507 of the family's 1533-position model. The record is from RNAcentral.
UGAACGGCUGGCGGCGUGCUUAACACAUGCAAGUCGAACGAAGAAGAGUUGAAUGAGAGCUUCGGCAGGAUUUCUUCUCAUCUUAGUGGCGGACGGGUGAGUAACGUGUGGGCAACCUGCCCUAUACUGGGGAAUAAUCACUGGAAACGGUGACUAAUACCGCAUGUCAUCACCGGAGGGCAUCCUCUGGUGAAAAAAGGAGCAAUUCGGUAUAGGAUGGGCCCGCAUCUGAUUAGCUAGUUGGUGAGAUAACAGCCCACCAAGGCGACGAUCAGUAGCCGACCUGAGAGGGUGAUCGGCCACAUUGGGACUGAGACACGGCCCAAACUCCUACGGGAGGCAGCAGUGGGGAAUAUUGCACAAUGGGGGAAACCCUGAUGCAGCGACGCCGCGUGAGUGAAGAAGUAUUUCGGUAUGUAAAGCUCUAUCAGCAGGGAAGAAAAUGACGGUACCUGACUAAGAAGCCCCGGCUAACUACGUG